GGUAACUUUCCCCCUGCUUUUCACUUUAUCUACACAACUGCCACAAUGCCAUUCAUUUCAUUCCAAUUCCAUUCGCUUUCACUCUAAAUUGAAUAAGCGCCGUCAUUUUCUGUGUUGCAGAGGACGAGGGCGAGACGAAGCAUCUAGAAGCGUUAGUAGAGGGAGCAGAGUCGCGCCUCCGUCUCUUCCAGAUCGACCUCCUCGACUACAACUCGAUACUCGCCGCCGUCAGUGGCUGCUCCGGCGUCUUCCACCUCGCCUCUCCCUGCAUCGUCGAUCAAGUCCACGACGCCGAGGUUCGCGCCAGUACACAUUAUCAAAUUCCUUCUAAUUUUGAUUAUAUUUGAUUAAUUAUGCGUCAUUUUGAAAACGUGGUCAUUUUUUUGUUUAAUCUGCAGAAGGAGCUUCUGGACCCGGCGAUCAAAGGAACGCUCAAUGUUCUGACGGCGGCGAAGCGCGCUGGGGUCAGCCGUGUGGUGCUGACGUCAUCCAUCUCCGCCAUCACUCCCAGCCCAAGCUGGCCGUCUGAUAAGGUCAAGGGCGAGGAUUGCUGGACAGACAUUGACUACUGCAAGCAGAAGGGAGUGAGUUACUCCAAUGCCUAAUUGUGUUUUGAAAAACCGCGGUUUAUUGUCUGUUUAAUGUCCGCAUUCUAUUUUCUUAUUGAAAGUUUGUAACUUUCGGUGCGAGUUUCCCCUGUUUGUAUUGAAUUUUUCAUCUUUGAUUAUUAAGUCUUCGUUUUUAACUAAUUGAAGUUUUCACAAAUGGGGACCUGUAAUGCUGAUUGUGUUUGGUGUUUGGCUAGGUGUGGAAUCCAUUACCGAAAACGCUGGCAGAGAAAGCAGCGUGGGAAUUUGCCAAGGAGAGGGGGCUGGAUGUGGUUGUGGUGAAUCCAGGCACGGUGAUGGGCCCUGUUAUCUCGGCCAGGUUCAAUGCUAGCAUGUUGAUGCUCGUUCGCCUUCUUGAGGGUACUUUUCUCUGCAAAUUUGUAUUAGAAUAUCCUCUGGGACUGCACCUAGAAGUAGAUUGUUGACUUUAUCCAAUUCCAUUUCAUAUAUUAUGUUGCUGAAAGCCUAAAACUAAGGUAACCAAUGAGGCUGUGGUUGGUUGAUGAACUAGAAAUUAGAUGCAUAUGUGUGAUCAUAAAGGAACUCUUCUACAUCUGUUUUUCUAGCACACGUUUCUUUAAGUUCUAAGCAAUCUCGAUAAAGUUUGUUUGGGUUCCUCUCUUUUGGAGAGGACUGAGAAAAAGGAAGAGGCCCUAGAAACAACAUGUAUAAAGUAAGAUUUGAGAUGUUCAAUCUUUGCUGCAGGCUGCACUGAAACUUAUGAGGACUUCCUUGUGGGAUCCGUUCAUUUUAAAGAUGUAGCUCUCGCACACAUUUUAGUGUAUGAGAACAAAAUCAUCAACCGGUAGGCACUUAUGUGCUGGAGCUAUAUCACAUUAUGGUGCCUUUGUGCUAAAGGUUGCUGAACUUUUCCCUGAGUACAAGGUUCCCAGGUAAAUUUUGGUCUGCAAAAUGCAUUUGCAAAUGAAAUGGUGUGCAUAUCUUAUGUUUUCGCUGUUUGGUUUCCUGAUAAGUGAAUGUCUCAUCUCUUGGCAGAAGCGCAACUUAAAAAUAUAGUAUGUCUUGAUUUUGAACCGAGGUUUCUUAGAUACACUGAACUCUUCUACAGCUGGAGGAUGAUGAUUUUUUCUUUCUUUUUUUCCUCCCAUCACGUGUUUGAUAUUUGAGACCAAAUUAGCGAAUUGAAAUCUGAUUUUUCCUAUAAAAGAGUGUUCAUGCGGGUAUAGAUGUGCAUACGUCAUCUUUCUUUGGUCUAUUUAAAAUCCCUUCCAAAUGUUGAUUUCCACGUUUUUCAACCUUUUGGUGCAUUCUUGCUUGCCUUGGCGGAAUUUUACAAUUUUUUUAGGUGGUGUGUGUCUGAUUUUGAAAAUGCUCGAGCUAAUAUGUUUACUUUUGUGUAGUUUGCCAAAGGACACCCAACCGAGCUUGCUGCCGAGGGAAAGAACGGUGCGAAGAAGCUAAUGAACUUGGGUUUAGAAUUCAUUCCCAUGGAUCAAAUUAUCAAGGAUGCUGUUGAGAGCCUAAAGAGCAAGGGAUUUAUUUCAUAAAUGAAACUGCAGGAAUAUGAAACUUAUCAGGGAUCAAGGUAUGACUUGUACUAGUAGCUGAGUACGUGUAACAUGAAUGGUUGUUUCAACUCCUUUAAAUUUUCCUUCUUCUAGGUAGGAGAGCAAUUUAUAUGAAACGAGUUCAUUGCCAUUAUGGCGUUCUGGUCCAGUAAUAUAUUGUCACGUGAAGAAAAACUUAAACAUAUCAGUGCAUUGUUGGACUGGAAUGCUACGUGAUAUAACAAUUAUUCCAUACAUUUUAUUUCCUUUUUAUUUGGAUUAUUGUGAUUGUUUUAAGUGAAUUCAGUUCUCUUUUACUUAGUUUUGUGUUCUUUGGUUCGAGGAGUAAAGAUGAAGAAACAAGAAAAUGGAGGGAUUUUGCAAUUGAAACGAGUUUUGCUUCCUGGAAGCAGACACUGUCUGCGCAGAAUAGCCAACUUGACCGAAUAAACUGUACUUCAGAAGGAACCAGCUAUUGAGCCUUAUACCAUUGCAAAGAUAUUGAAGUUAGCUUUCAAAGAAAUUUUACGGGUGAUAAUUCACUUGAAGCCCAUUGCCCAAGAGAGCUUGUACAGAUGACUUUAAUCCUAUUUCAAUAGGGUCUGAAGUAAGUUACUUGGGAAGUUUACUCGCCACAUCAUCAGUCAUGCAAUACAAAUGAGGAAAAGAUUGCACAAGACCGAUAGGAUUUUGACCAAUAUAGGUUGUAGGAAGUCGGAGGGACGUUUUGGAGAGAGAUUUUCUGCAAAGUUUGAAGAGGAGAAGCAGCGGCCAUCAGCCAUCGUUCUAUCCUUCUACAUCGUUUAUAAGUUUUCCAUGUUUUCUAGACUUUUCAUUAUGUUUUCGUGCUCUAUGAAUAACUAAACUCUUUUCUAGGGCUAGGAUGAUGCCCUAGCAUGAAUGUUAUGAUUUUCAACAGUAUUUGUUGGAUAUUUAAUUUGUUGGAUGAAUUCUUAUUCACUACAAGAACUGAAUGCUUUAUGUUCGAAUUCUUUGACUGAUGAUGUUAGGGCUUUCCAUAUAGUAACUUGAAGAUGGAAUUGAGGCGUAACUGCAAUAUAAUUCGGAUUAGCUUCUUGAUAAUAAGGGUUGUGAAUUACAUAGAUGUUGUAACAAGAUUUAUGGUUUGCAUGAUUCUCCUGUUCUCUUGUACGUAAUGAGUUCUACAUGUUAAAUUUAUGCCCUAACCAGAUAGACUGCAUUUUAGGAUAUACGACCUUUGCCGAAAAAAAGGUCGUACCCAGUGCACAAGGCUCCCGCUUUACGCAGGGUCUGGGAGAGGUGAAUGUCGGCUAGCCUUACCCCCAUUUAUGGAGAGACUGCUCUCAAGUCUCGAACCCGAAAUCGAAGAAAAUCACAUACUUAAGGAGAACUAUGGUUUAUAGUGCCUUAACCGGACUUAGAUACAGGAAUUGUCUUCUAAGGGAAAAUAUUCCAUUGAAUGCAUUGAAACCUAAACCGGAUUGUCAUCUUUGUUGUAUUUAUUAACAAAUAAGGAUAAUUCAAAUAUUAAGAGGUUGCAUAUACCUUUAUAAUGAACUGAAUUCAGCCACAGAUUCUGGUUUUAUUUCUCAUACGAUGUCAAAACAGGAAUCCAGAGUCCUUGACUCUACUUGUGUAGAAUGUUGGUAAUUUCCACUGAUGGAACACUCCCUUGCCCUCAAAGAUAUGUGAUAUAACAUGGGCGAAAGAAUGAAUAAACCGGACUAGUACCGGCCUUCUUGGUGUUAUUCUCAUCAUAGUAGCUUGCUAUCUGCAUAAUUUGUUUUCGUGCAUGUUAAGAAUAGACCCUUACACCUCUUUAUGUUGUCCUGUUGUAGCUGGUCUGCAAGCGGCCUGCGUUGGUUGUGCCGGCUUUGCUGCAUUUUCAGUGCUGAUAGAGAAGUUUUUGGAUAGACAUGAUUGAGUUUGAGCGCUUUGCCUGUGCUGCACCAGUUUUGCAGACACUAAAAAUAUGACAAUUCAGCAGAAGUGCCCUGCAGUGAUACGAAUGUUUUUGCUUAGGUUCAACUUCAGCCCUUGUUAUGGUUAUUUAUCCAAAAUCAUUUAUGAAGGGAUGUUCUAGCGAACAUACAAAUCCAAUGAUUUUGUGUUAUGCAUUCUCUCGACUACAGUUGAGAUUUUUUGAGAAUCUACACCGUAUUUUUAGCGGUAUGAUCAUUGAUUUAGAUUUGUAAUUCAACAAACAAACACCCAAACGAAAGGAUUAAUUCCCGGCAGGAAGUCUCAACUCAUGAAAGAUAUUCGGAUUUUGAGAAGAAGGUUUACGCUGCUCUAAAGAAAUGAGCUUGCUUGCUGGAUAGGCAUUCAGAUUCACUCCUAAAGUUUUCGUUAAUCCUUUCUCUCCACACAGUAAACUGCAGCAUCAAGGUAAAAUCUUGGUAAAUCAAAGAAUCUUGCUUUAUAAAAUCAAAGAAUCUUAACAAGUCACCAUAGACGGUUCGGAUUGAAUUUCAUCGUGAUAAUUAAAUAAGCAAAUGGUUGCGGAUUAAAUUGAAUUUUUGCAAGAAACCUUGAAAUUGAGGAACAUUUUGUUCUAUAAGAAACAAUGAAAUUUCAUCGUAAUAAUUAAAUAGACAAAUGAUUUUGGAUAUCAAAACCAGAAAACCAGUAAGUCUCAAUUAAAGAACAUUCGUAGCUAGAAAUCAAAUAUAAAUUUAAAAAAAAAAAAAAUUGCCAAAGAGAACAGUGGCACGAAUGCCAAAUACCCGUGACCUAAUGCUUGCUUCUUAUCGAGGAUUGAUUCAUAAGCCAUCAUGUUAAUUUGUUUAUAUGAGAUGUUGAAAAGAUGUUGAGAAUGAAUCUCACAUUGAUAGGAGAAACUAUGCAUAGACUUAAAAGUAAGUUGGGCUACUUCCCCAUAUUGUCAAUUGGUUUUAUGGUUGAACUCCAAUUUCUUCAUAAGGUUUACGUUCUAAAAAACAAAUUUAGACUACUUGCCGACACUGCCAGUAUAUAUUCACCCCUGAAAUUUGUUGUUCCUUUCAUCCAAGGAGAGCAAACAGCAGCAUCAAGGAAAAUCUUUUUGGUAUUAAGAGCAAAGAAUCUUGCAUUAAGAAAGCAAACGGGAAAACAAAGGUGUCCACUGUCUAUAUAAACUAGCAAAGAAGAAAAGCUAUAGCACAACCAUCCUGCAUUAGUUUCCUCUUCAUGUAUACAUUCCUACGCAGCUGACUUCUUCUUCUUCUUCUUCUUCUUCUUCUUCUUCUUCUUCUCCACUCUCAACCGAUUUCUAAGUUUGUAACCCUGAAAAUGGCUGACGCCCUCGUUUCCAUGCUACUAGAGAAGUUGGCUACAACAACUUAUGAGUACGUAGAGGACGAGCUGACACUCAUUCUAAAUGUUAAGAAAGAAGUUGAAGAGUUCACUGGCAACCUGAAAGCUAUUGAAUCUAUGCUUGAGGAUGCAGAGCAAAGGCAAAUGAAGGAGGCAAACGUGCAAAACUGGCUGGAUAACCUGAAGGAAAUAUCGUACCAGAUGGUGGACGUGCUGGAUGAGUGGAACACUGACGUUCUGAGACAAGAAGUUGAGAAACAAGAAGGAGAAGGCACAACUCAUAUUACUCAUCAGAGGAAGGUAAGUUUUGCUAUCUUCGCUCGUUGUUUUUGUCUUGGCCAAGUCGGCAAGGUUAUUAUUCGUCGUGAAAUUGCUCUCAAGAUAAAGGAUCUAAAUGAGCAGUUAGUUGGGAUUUAUAAGCAAAGAAAAAUGUAUAAUUUUCAACUCACUGAAAUAGUCAUUCAAAAACAGCAAACUUCGUCUUUUGUCGAUAUGUCUGAGAUAUUUGGUCGAGAAAAGGAAAAGGAUAGUUUGAUAAGGAAGUUGGUGAGUGAUGGUAGUGAAGAAGGGAGGGGGCUCCUCAUCAUCCCUAUUGUAGGGAUGGGAGGUAUGGGAAAGACAACUUUGGCUCAGUUAGUCUAUAAUGAUGCCAAUGUUAAAGCUCAUUUUCAAAAGAGAAUAUGGGUUUGUGUGUCAGAGCCUUUCGAUGAGACAAAGAUUGCCAAAGAGAUUAGUGGUGAUGCCACCUCAAGUUCAACUGGGUUGGAUCAUGUCUUAGAAUCUAUGUCUCGAUCCAUUAAAGGGGUAAAGUUUCUUCUUGUGUUGGAUGAUGUGUGGACUGAAGACCGUAAAAAGUGGUAUCAAUUAAAGGUUCCAUUGAUGCAAAAUGGGGCUGAGGGCAGUAGAAUACUAGUAACCACCAGAAAAGAAAAUGUUGCUAGUAUGAUGGAAGCAACCUCUCACAUGAUCAAUCUUGCAGAGUUGAGCGAACAAAAUUGUUUGUCAAUCUUCAAUCACAUGGCAUUUUCUAAUAGAGAAAUAGGCGAGUUUGAGGUGUUUGGAGAAAUCAGUAGGGAGAUUGUAAGAAAGUGUAAGGGUUUGCCACUUGUUGCAAAGACUUUAGGUAGUAUGAUGCGAGAUAAGAGGACAAGGAGUGAAUGGUUGAAGGUUCUGAAUAGUAAAAUAUGGGAUUGGGAAGAAGUGGAGCAAGAAGUUUUCCAGCCAUUAUUUCUAAGUUAUUAUGAUUUGGCCCCGAGAAACAAAUGUUGCCUUUUAUAUUGUGCUAUUUUUCCAAAAGAUUAUGAGUUUAGUAGAGAUGAGUUGAUUAAUCUUUGGAUGGCACAAGAUUAUCUUAAUUCUAGAGAGAAUAAAGAUAAAGGAAAAACUGGUCAAGCUGUUUUUGAUAAUUUAGUUGCUCGGUCUUUUUUUCAAGAUUUUAAGAAACAUUACGACACUGGUGCGAUAAUAGGUUGCAAAAUGCAUGACAUUGUACAUGACUUCGUGCAAUUUAUCACCAAGAAGGAAUGCUUGAGUACCGAGGCAGAGGUUGCAAACCGUAAAAUAGAGGUAUUGGGCAGUAAUCUUCGCCAUCUGACCUUAACAUCUGUGGUUGAUGAUCAAGCUUUACUUUCUAUCACUUCUCGGAAUUGCAAAAAUCUACGUACGCUCACAACAACUCACUCAAGUGUUGCUACGGUAUAUGCUAGUUUUAUUUUACAAGUUAAAUGUCUUAGGACGAUAAGGUUGUCUGGAAAUUCCAUCAAAGAACUCCCAAAAGAGAUUGGUGAAUUGGUACAUUUGAGGCAUAUUGAUUUGUCUAGGAGUAUAAAGUUGGAGAAGUUACCAGACACCAUUUGUGGUUUAUAUAACUUGUAUACCUUGGACCUUCGAAGAUGGAAAUCGCUACAUAAAUUGCCUGAUAACAUGGGAAAGUUGAUUAGCUUAAGGCAUCUUUACGUUGGGGAGAGUGACUCACUGAAGUACUUGCCAAAAGGGAUAGGGAGAUUAACAAGUUUGCAAACACUAGACGUUUGUCCUCUUUUUUCUGUUGACAAUGACGAAGCAUUUCAAGUUGGGGAUUUGGGAACCGUGAACCAGCUCCACGGCAGUCUCCAAAUAAGAAUUUUGGGGAAGGUGAAAGAUGGGAGUGAAGCACAACUGCGGGACAACAAGCAACUUUUUCAUCUCCAACUUGAUUUUGGUGAAGUGCGUGACAAGGCCGGAGAGAGCAGUGGACGAAAUAUGGAUGUCUUAAGACCACACGAUGAUCUGGAAUCUUUAGAGAUUUAUGGGUAUUUUGGCUCGACCUGGCCGAAUUGGUUGAUGUCUUUAAAAAAGUUGCGAUUCCUUACUCUGGAGGAUAAUUGUGUUUGUGAAAUUUUGCCUCCUCUUGGGAAAUUGCCGUUCCUUGAAGGACUCCACCUCGGGGCAAUGUCGGGUGUAAGAAAGAUUGGUGGUGAGUUUUUGGGAGUAGAAGAUGAUCAAACAUCUUCAUUCAAAUCAUCCUUGUCAAUAUUAUUCCCAAAAUUGAAGCGACUCCACUUUUACAACAUGUUGUCUUGGAAGGACUGGGGAGGCGUGAAAGGGUGGAACAAAGGAGAUUCUGGAAUUACUAUCAUGCCAUGUCUUUCUUCCUUAGACAUAACUAUGUGCUCUGAGCUAGAAACGCUGCCAGACUUCCUCUGCAAAAUGCCACUCAAGAAUCUUUCCAUUUUUUACUGUCCAACACUUGCCAAACGUUGCAAAGAAAGCAGUGGAGAGGAGUGGCCCAAGAUUUCUCACAUCCCAAACGUCAAGAUUUGUGCUAAUGACGUUUAAUCUUGGUGAGUUGCAGUGUUUUGAUUAUUUACUUCGUUUUGGAUAUGUACAAAUACAAUUAAUUUAAGGUGAAAAGUAUAUGAAAAAUAAUUAUAAUUAUUUGUAUUCCAAAUUGCAGAUAAUAGUGCAGAGGCCUAGGUCAAAUAAACCUCCAAGCUGUUUGGUGCGGCGCUAGUUCCCUCCUCAAGAAACGACGACGAUCAAAAUUUAACUGUAUUAAUUCCAAAAUCCCACUACGUUGAAUGAGUUGUUAAUUAAGGUAAGCUAGACAGUACUAUAUAUAUGUAUGUAUGUAUGUAUGUCAAGAAAACAUCUGCGGUUACUAAGUUCUAUGCAGUGAUUCACUAAAAUUAAAUAAGGAAAGUUUAACGAAAAGCUCUCUGUACUGUUCAUUUUAACGAAAAAUCACAUUUUUACACUAAAAAGUCAAUUUUGGUACUAUUCACUUUACUAUUUAUUUUGUCAUUAUCGUUAAAACUCAAAGUUUUCUAACCAUUUUUAUUAGUUUUCCUUUUAACAAGGGACAUAUACAAAAGAUAUUAAUAUUUUUCAACAAAAGAAAAUGUUAUUGGCACUUUCAAAAUCUCAUUUUACACUCUUCACAAGUAUAUUUUUCAUUCGUAAUAUAGAAAAUUUGGAGUGUAAAAUAAGAUUUUUGGAGUGCUAAUAAGAAUUCUCUUCAACAAAUUGUGGCUCAUUAGAGUUUUCUGCAAUAAUUUUGAUAAAUCCAAGUUAUUUACGAUAUUUAUUUAUUUAUUUAUUACAAGUGAUAUUACUAAUAUAAAAAAUUAGGUAUAAAUAUUAAAGAGAAGUCAAGCGUUUUAACUCGAGAUAUUGUGUGUACGUUAUACACUCAAUUUUCGAUGUACAUUAUCUUUUUAUUUGUAAAUUCCAUUUAGAUUUUGUGCAUGCAAUCAGCUGAAGUAACUGAGGAGCACUCGACCGCUGAAAGCAAAGGGACACUGCAACCUGCAGGGAGGGAGGAUGUCGAAGCAGGGUGAGGUCGUAUGCGUUACCGGUGGAAGCGGCUGCAUCGGAUCCUGGCUCGUCCGUCUCCUCCUCCACCGUGAUUACACCGUCCACGCCACCGUCAAGGAUCUCAGUAACUUCACCCUUGCUUUUCCCCUUAUCUACACAACCGCCACAGUUCCAUUCAUUCCAUUCGCGUUCAGUUCAAAAUUAAUAACGCCGUUGUUUUGUUUGUUGCAGAGGACGAUGGCGAGACGAAGCAUCUAGAAGCGUUAGUAGAGGGGGCAGAGUCGCGCCUCCGUCUCUUCCAGAUCGACCUCCUCGACUACAACUCCAUACUCGCCGCCGUCAAUGG
Molecule: long non-coding RNA, 9533 nt
Filed under: Malus domestica (apple)
Lineage: Eukaryota; Viridiplantae; Streptophyta; Magnoliopsida; Rosales; Rosaceae
Description: long non-coding RNA (MDOM_LNC009981)
Source: RNAcentral